This 265-nucleotide ribosomal RNA is filed under the name uncultured Staphylococcus sp. RNAcentral's name for it is "partial 16S ribosomal RNA". It matches the Rfam family "Bacterial small subunit ribosomal RNA", at positions 96 to 354 of the family's 1533-position model. Lineage: Bacteria; Bacillati; Bacillota; Bacilli; Caryophanales; Staphylococcaceae. The record is from RNAcentral.
CGGCGGACGGGUGAGUAACACGUGGAUAACCUACCUAUAAGACUGGGAUAACUUCGGGAAACCGGAGCUAAUACCGGAUAAUAUAUUGAACCGCAUGGUUCAAUAGUGAAAGACGGUUUUGCUGUCACUUAUAGAUGGAUCCGCGCCGCAUUAGCUAGUUGGUAAGGUAAGGGCUUACCAAGGCAACGAUGCGUAGCCGACCUGAGAGGGUGAUCGGCCACACUGGAACUGAGACACGGUCCAGACUCCUACGGAGGCAGCAGGC